Molecule: small RNA, 427 nt
Filed under: Arabidopsis thaliana (thale cress)
Lineage: Eukaryota; Viridiplantae; Streptophyta; Magnoliopsida; Brassicales; Brassicaceae
Description: ATSL144510
Source: RNAcentral
UAUUUUUGUCUUUAUUUGACUAUAUGACAAAACAGCAGAAGGUUAUAAAGGUCAUUCACUAAAAUCUCUAUUAGAUAGAAAGUUGUAUUAGAGAGGAAAGAGAAAAGUGUCUAUUCUCCCUAUUUCUAAAAAAACUACCUAUUUUGCAAAUUAUUUGUGAAAAAAGUGUCUAGUUUCCAACUUAUCUCAAAAAAAAAAUACACCAAACAAAUGCGGAUAAUGGAUCCCUUUUAAAUAAUGAAGCAAAUAAACUUAAAAAUGGAACGUGAGAAUCCAUACAAGCGACUAAUAUAUAUAUAUAUAUAUCUUGAGUCAAGAUAACAUAUUGAUGGAUCUUCUAUUACGUGUUGUUUUUCUGGUUUGGGCAAAGGACUUCAGUCUCAUCAUCCUCCUCCGCAGAAGCAGAGCGCGAUAUGGCCACAACACA